This is a non-coding RNA of Chelonoidis abingdonii (Abingdon island giant tortoise), 594 nucleotides long. The record is from RefSeq and is a predicted model, not a curated record. NCBI's taxonomy places the organism in Eukaryota, Metazoa, Chordata, Testudines, Testudinidae.
AAGCGAGACUUGUCUUCAUAGGCCACUCACAAUGAUGUCCUUUUUAUGUGCAACUGCUGCAAAAGCAUCCCGACCAGAGAAGCAUCAAACCACAGGUGUCUCAUGUAGCUGCCAAAGUAGCUCAGUUGGGAGAGCAUUAGACUGAAGAUCUGAAAGUCCCUGGUUCAAUCCUGGGCUUUAGCAGGCCCAUUCAUCCCUCUUUGUGCAGGGGCAGCUUGUUUUCUGGGAGGGCAACAGCACCUUCACCUGAGGCAAGUACUUGAGUUUGAGUUCCCCAGCAGGACAACAGAGUGUGGGCUUCUGCCCCUAGUUGGCCCACCUGACCUGUAACAAUGAGGAACAGGAGCUGUCUCUUCCACAUGACUUAUUGGUAGACCCAAUGUGGUGGGAAGAGAGUGAGAUAGGAUGGUCCUUGGAGAUGAUGCCAGAGGGGGCAGGGACUGGGGACAAAAGCUCCUCUCCACAGCUGAGCAAGGGCAGUACUGGGGAAGGGGCAUCUGUUAAAGUGACCCAGCACACCUCUUCUCCUCUGGGCACCUAGAGCAGAGGCAGCUGGUGCAGACAGCUCCAAGGGAAGGCUUAAAAGCCACAGAG